Molecule: ribosomal RNA, 468 nt
Filed under: uncultured bacterium
Lineage: Bacteria
Description: partial 16S ribosomal RNA
Rfam family: Bacterial small subunit ribosomal RNA
Source: RNAcentral
GACGAACGCUGGCGGCGUGCUUAACACAUGCAAGUCGAACGGAAAGGCCCUGCUUUUGUGGGGUGCUCGAGUGGCGAACGGGUGAGUAACACGUGAGUAACCUGCCCUUGACUUUGGGAUAACUUCAGGAAACUGGGGCGAAUACCGGAUAGGAGCUCCUGCUGCAUGGUGGGGGUUGGAAAGUUUCGGCGGUUGGGGAUGGACUCGAGGCUUAUCAGCUUGUUGGUGGGGUAGUGGCUUACCAAGGCUUUGACGGGUAGCCGGCCUGAGAGGGUGACCGGCCACAUUGGGACUGGGAUAGGGCCCAGACUCCUACGGGAGGCAGCAGUGGGGGAUAUUGCACAAUGGGCGGAAGCCUGAUGCAGCAACGCCGCGUGCGGGAUGACGGCCUUCGGGUUGUAAACCGCUUUCGCCUGUGACGAAGAGUGAGUGACGGUAAUGGGUAAAGAAGCACCGGCUAACUACGUG